CCGCACGGGUGAGUAACACGUAUCCAACCUGCCGUCUACUCUUGGCCAGCCUUCUGAAAGGAAGAUUAAUCCAGGAUGGCAUCAUGAGUUCACAUGUCCGCAUGAUUAAAGGUAUUUUCCGGUAGACGAUGGGGAUGCGUUCCAUUAGGCAGUUGGUGGGGUAACGGCCCACCAAACCUUCGAUGGAUAGGGGUUCUGAGAGGAAGGUCCCCCACAUUGGAACUGAGACACGGUCCAA
RNAcentral lists this ribosomal RNA (238 nucleotides) under uncultured bacterium. RNAcentral's name for it is "partial 16S ribosomal RNA". It matches the Rfam family "Bacterial small subunit ribosomal RNA", at positions 98 to 334 of the family's 1533-position model. The record is from RNAcentral.